GAUGAACGCUAGCGAUAGGCUUAACACAUGCAAGUCGAGGGGCAGCAUGGUCUUAGCUUGCUAAGACUGAUGGCGACCGGCGCACGGGUGCGUAACGCGUAUGCAACUUGCCUCACAGAGGGGGAUAACCCGUCGAAAGACGGACUAAUACCGCGUACACUCCAUCUUGGGCAUCCAAGGUAGAGGAAAUGAAAUUCGCUGUGAGAUAGGCAUGCGUCCCAUUAGCUAGUUGGUGAGGUAACGGCUCACCAAGGCGACGAUGGGUAGGGGAACUGAGAGGUUGAACCCCCACACUGGUACUGAGACACGGACCAGACUCCUACGGGAGGCAGCAGUGAGGAAUAUUGGUCAAUGGGCGAGAGCCUGAACCAGCCAAGUCGCGUGAAGGAUGACUGUCUUAUGGAUUGUAAACUUCUUUUAUACGGGAAUAACAAGAGUCACGUGUGACUCCCUGCAUGUACCGUAUGAAUAGGCAUCGGCUAACUCCGUG
RNAcentral lists this ribosomal RNA (490 nucleotides) under uncultured bacterium. RNAcentral describes it as "partial 16S ribosomal RNA". It matches the Rfam family "Bacterial small subunit ribosomal RNA", at positions 28 to 507 of the family's 1533-position model. The record is from RNAcentral.